This is a non-coding RNA of Bombyx mori (domestic silkworm), 94 nucleotides long. Lineage: Eukaryota; Metazoa; Arthropoda; Insecta; Lepidoptera; Bombycidae. The record is from RefSeq and is marked provisional.
UCGGAAACGCGACCCACUGAGAAGAUCCGGCGAGAAAACUCAGUGGGCUGUGUCUAUGGGUUUAACAUCCUCGCCGAGCCCUUCGUCGCAAGCG